AUCAUGAGUCCACAUGUUCACAUGAUUAAAGGUAUUCCGGUAGACGAUGGGGAUGCGUUCCAUUAGAUAGUAGGCGGGGUAACGGCCCACCUAGUCUUCGAUGGAUAGGGGUUCUGAGAGGAAGGUCCCCCACAUUGGAACUGAGACACGGUCCAAACUCCUACGGGAGGCAGCAGUGAGGAAUAUUGGUCAAUGGGCGAGAGCCUGAACCAGCCAAGUAGCGUGAAGGAUGACUGCCCUAUGGGUUGUAAACUUCUUUUAUAAAGGAAUAAAGUCGGGUAUGCAUACCCGUUUGCAUGUACUUUAUGAAUAAGGAUCGGCUAACUCCGUGCCAGCAGCCGCGGUAAUACGGAGGAUCCGAGCGUUAUCCGGAUUUAUUGGGUUUAAAGGGAGCGUAGAUGGAUGUUUAAGUCAGUUGUGAAAGUUUGCGGCUCAACCGUAAAAUUGCAGUUGAUACUGGAUAUCUUGAGUGCAGUUGAGGCAGGCGGAAUUCGUGGUGUAGCGGUGAAAUGCUUAGAUAUCACGAAGAACUCCGAUUGCGAAGGCAGCCUGCUAAGCUGCA
This 562-nucleotide ribosomal RNA is filed under the name uncultured Bacteroidales bacterium. Its description in RNAcentral is "bacterial SSU rRNA". It matches the Rfam family "Bacterial small subunit ribosomal RNA", at positions 173 to 738 of the family's 1533-position model. The record is from RNAcentral. Lineage: Bacteria; Pseudomonadati; Bacteroidota; Bacteroidia; Bacteroidales.